Molecule: ribosomal RNA, 379 nt
Filed under: uncultured bacterium
Lineage: Bacteria
Description: bacterial SSU rRNA
Rfam family: Bacterial small subunit ribosomal RNA
Source: RNAcentral
GUAGUCCACGCUGUAAACGAUGAGAACUAGAUGUUGGGAGGAUAAAACCUUUUAGUAUCGAAGCAAACGCGAUAAGUUCUCCGCCUGGGGAGUACGGCCGCAAGGUUAAAACUCAAAGGAAUUGACGGGGGCCUGCACAAGCGGUGGAGCAUGUGGUUUAAUUCGAUGCAACGCGAAGAACCUUACCUGGCCUUGACAUCCUUGGGAUCCUGCAGAGAUGCGGGAGUGCCUUCGGGAACCGAGAGACAGGUGCUGCAUGGCUGUCGUCAGCUCGUGUCGUGAGAUGUUGGGUUAAGUCCCGUAACGAGCGCAACCCCUAUCCUUAGUUACCAUCAAGUAAAGUUGGGGACUCUAGGGAGACUGCCGGUGACAAGCCGGA